UCCUCUCCGGCGGUAUCCUUACUUCCAAACAAGCCCUUUAAGUUGCUAAUUGGCGCUUCUUAUUGCUCAAGUUGCAUCCUUCUGCCAAGUUUUUCCACAGGAUGCACUGAGUGGAGCCAGUGAACUUCAAUGCAUGGCUCUAGUGGUGUUAACCUCGAAAGACAGCCCGUUAUCCUGGAGGCGCUGCUGGAGAUCAGUAGGGCCAAAGACGGUGCCAGGCGUGUAUACCCCGCCCUUGGGCAGGUUGGCACGCUGGCUCAGCAGGACGAGGGCGCACUGCACCAGCACGAUCGGAGUUGUGACGUAACCGACCUCGGGUCCCGAAACCUUGGUGAUCACCUCCUUGUCCGGCUUGCUUCUUCCGAGCUCCAACGAGCUAUCCACGUUGCUGUAGCCGUGACCGACAAACCACAUCUUGAACGAGGCGCUCUUCACCUCUUCCUCGGUCGGGCCGGCUCUGCUGAACAGCCCAGCGGAGAAAAACUCAGGGUACUUCAGCAGGAGGGACCUGCCGAAGGAGAAGUUGGCGAGCAGGCCGAUGAAGAUUCCGGUGAAGAUGAAGCGCACAAGGAUCAGCAGGGAUCUGGAG
Molecule: unclassified non-coding RNA, 589 nt
Filed under: Zea mays
Lineage: Eukaryota; Viridiplantae; Streptophyta; Magnoliopsida; Poales; Poaceae
Description: misc RNA Zm00001eb326650
Source: RNAcentral